Molecule: long non-coding RNA, 4883 nt
Organism: Stegostoma tigrinum
Lineage: Eukaryota; Metazoa; Chordata; Chondrichthyes; Orectolobiformes; Stegostomatidae
Exons: 5
Source: RefSeq, a predicted model, not a curated record
UGCAAACCACGUGAUCAUCCACAAGAGCAGUGCAGGUUCGCUGAGAUAAGUAGGAACUGCCGCUGACGGAGAUUCCGAGACACUGAGGUGUAGAGCUGGGUGAAUAUAACAGGCCAAGAAGUAUCAGAGGAGUAGGAAAGCUGACGUUUUGUGCCUGGUCCCUUCGCUGAGACUAAGGUUUGUGCAAUUGAGAUACCAGCGAUCGUUGCCAAAGCCCUGUUACCUGUGGAGAAGGUCAUGUUUAACUUUCCUGUGCUGCUGCAGUUCGUAUGAUGAAGGUGCUCCCACAAUUGUGGUCAUUUGAGAAGUUACAGAUCAUUCAUCUAGCGAUACUGAAGAGCUGAUGGUGAUUCGAACCCAGGUCCCCGGAAUGGUGUCUGGGUCUCUGGAUUAAUAAUCUGGCGAUAAUACUGUUUAUCAACUGAGGGAGGAUGGUCCAUGGCAUUCAACAGGAGCCAUGAGUCUUCCAGGCGUCAGAGUCAAUGUCGUAUUCCCAGGUCAAUUACUGCGAUCAGAAUAGCACUGUGCUGCCAUGUCUGUCCUGCUCCUGGGACAGGCCUUCACUACGGACCUUGAUGGUGGUGUGUGUCACUUGUCUAUAAGGAUAUUACAAGUGGACUUUCAGGUGGGGAAACUCAAUAAUUGUAACCCCAAACUCUGACAGAGUUCCUCACUUCAUCAACAUCUGGAUAUUUGCAUUGUGUAUUUCCACAAUUUUACUUCUGCACUGUUCUUAACCUUUUGAUCCCUCUGAAAUACUGAGUUACAAUGCCUGCCCUUCCUCCCUGGCUCUCCCACCUCUCUUUGAGCAGUUUUGUGCAAAUACUGACUGGAUCCCUUGCCUGGAGGAUAUUUAUUUCAAUUUGUCCUAAUGAUGAUCCAGCACAUUUCCCAAGUGUCGCUCCAUAAAUGUCCAGAGGAUUUCUCGAUUUCACAAUCUGUGGUUGUUCUUCUGGUUCCUCACUCACUGCACUUGCUUUCUGUUUGAAAGCUUAGUCUGCAAUUGGAGAAUACAAACAGGUCCACAUCCAGCUCUGACAGUCACUUUGUUUAUCACAAACCAGUUACCUCAGGAUUUUGAACAUUGGAGGAAAAAGCAGCAUUCACACUGGGGAGAAAUGCACAUGGUCUGUAAAGAGUCUGUGAAGAUUCAUCUGAAAUGUCCGAGCACCAGCGCAGUGACACUGGAGAGAGACUGUGGAAAUGUGCAGAUUGCAGGAAUGAAUUUUUUAAUCCGUCCCAGCUAGAAACUGACCACCAGAGUCACACUGGAGAGAAACCAUUCACCUGCUCUGAUUGUGGAAUGGGAUUCACUCAGUCCUCUAACCUGCUUAAACACCAGUGAGUUCGCACUGUAGAGAAACCAUUUGCAUGCUUGAAAUGUGGGAAAGCAUUCACUCAGACAUCUCAACCGCUGAUGCACGAGCGAAUUCACACUGGAGAGAGACCGUUGGCCUGUUCUGUGUGAGGGAAAGGCUUUGCUGACUCGAAUUGCCCGCUGAUCCACCAGCGACUUCACUCUGGGGAGUGACCAUUCGUCUGCUCCCAGUGUGGGAAGGGAUUCACUUGCUCACCUAACCUACAGAGCGUUCACACUGGGGAGAAACCAUUCACCUGCUCUAAAUCUGUGAAAGCAUUCACUUGGUCACCCUACCUGCUUGUGUUCCAGCAGGUUCACACUGGGGAGAACCCAUUCAUGAGCUCUGACUGGGGAAAGCAUUCACUCAGUUAUCCAAACUGUUAACACACCAGUGACUUCACAAUGAAGCACAGUUGAAGGAUUUUGCUGUCACUCUCACUAUCAAGUGAACCGUGUUUUUGGGCUGUAUUUACUGAUGUUACUGAUCCCUGCUCAAUUAAAAGUACAGGUAUUGUGGAUAAAAUGUUAAUAUCAGUUGUGUAUCUGUCAGGUAGAGUUUGGAAAUAGUCACGUUAUCACGACACAUUGACACAUUCUCACUGACUAAAGACGAGCCGCCCGCACAGUAUGUGAAAAGGGAUUUCCUGGUUCAUCCGGACUGGUGAACGAGCAGCAAAUUUCUGAGUAACUGUGAAGUCGGUUUUUGAUUCUGCAGUUAGCUAUAUCCAAACCAUGCUUUUUGGGCUUGCUUCUGGAGAUCAUAGAAUCCCUCCAGUCUGGAAGCAGACCAUUUAGCCCAUCGAGUUCCCAAUGAACUUAGAGUGUCCUACCCAGACCCUGCCUGCGUGGGUUUCCUCCAGGUGCUCUAGUUUCCCACAGUCCAAAAAUGUGCAAAUUCGGUAGAAUGACAAUGCUAAAUUGCCCAUAGUGUCUUGUGUGCAAAAUGCAGGGUAGGGUGUGAGACUGGGUGAGAUGCUGUUUGGAGGGUUGAUAAUGGACUGAAUGGCCAUCUUCCACACUGUAGGGAUUCUAUGUUGAUCGAAAUGGCCCUUUAUUUGUUGUGUCUGGUCAAUAUGUUUGCACACCUUCUACAAUUAUGGAUUCUAUUGCUCUCCACAGACAUCUUUCAACUACUAAUAGAUAUUUGUUUAUUGGAAACAAUCAAAGGAAAGUUUUAAAUCCAACAAAAGAUUGGGAUGAGUCAUGUUCUAUAUCCCUGAUAGCCGAUUGCAAAAAUGCAAUGAAACCUGGUGACCUGUCCAUGGGGAAUGCAGUCUCUUCAGAUCUUUACCAGGUGUCCAUAGCAGUGACAGAUCUUGUGAUGAAUACAAAAAGCUAGACAUUGUGUGAUAUCUAGUAUAUAUUUCCUAUUUAGUCUGCUGUCCAUUACUCCACAUGUCAAGUUUGUUUUCGGAGACCCUCACGGACUUGCUGCAAUCACAAGACACUGACCUGUUUAGAAAAACACAAAUCCUUUUAUUACCAAGCAAGUACAAGCUGUGGAGAAUCACUGUACUCAACCCGGCACAGAGAGCAGAGUCUCGCAAGUAAUUCUCCCCAAGCAGCAGACAGUGCCCGCUUAUUAUACUUUACAAAAGCCACGAUACUGAAAAUGACUUCACAAUUUAUAAUGGCAUGAUGCAUAAAACAAUUACUACAACAGACAAAAAUAGGAUACCAAGCAAUUAUUACAUCAAGAACAUAAAAGACCAGCUUAUAGUAUCGAUUGCUAGUGAAGUAGCUGCUAAUGGCAGGAGGCGAUUUUGAGUUGUUGUCGAGGACGGAUUGUGAUUUCAAGUUGCCAGUGUGUCUGACUAGAACAAAGUCAGUGCCCUGGCCCCUUUGCCAGUGACAGAAGUUACAUGCUUUAGAGGUUUCACACCCUUACAAAUUUUCCCCACCUAACCCUAUUUGAAACAGUUUGAUUCUAGUUUCAAUUCAGACAGGAAGCUUAAGACAGUGUCUGCAUACCGAUGUGUGAGAAGAAAAGGAGUGAAAAAAGCUUUACGCUGAAUUCCUAGCUGGGCAGGAAACUUCAGGGUAGUGCCUGCAUACCGAUGUGUAGGUAGAUAUGUAAAUUAAAGUCUUUUAUCUGCAUUUGAUUUCUAUACAGAGACUUUAAUUUAUAGAAGUAUAUAAAUCAAUGGGCUGUCAUCACAUUAACAUCUCACUCAGAGACUGAGAUACGGUCUGGUGACCUAGAUUUGAAUCACACCAUUCCAGAUGGUGGAAUUUGAGUUUUUUUUUAAAUCUAGAAAUAAGAAUCUAAUGAUGACCAUGAAUCUGUUGUCAGUCAGAAAAACCCAUCUGUUCACCUCUGUCCUUUAGGGAAGAAAACUUCCAUUUUUAUCCAGUGAUAUCAAGAUUCCAUGAAUGAUUGAUUUUUUUUUAACAAAAAAAAACUCCUGCAAAUACAGUUAUCUCUGUCUUAAUUUAUUUAGCAACCGACAGUUCAAACUGGUUGAUGGUCACUUUCACUUCUAAUCAAGUUGUGGCCGUUUCAUGAUUGAAAUUUUUAAAAAUGCAUGAAAGGAACCACAGUUGUUCUCGUAGGAACAAUGCAUGCUCUGACAUGUUUGAAAAAAAUACUUCAUCUCACUUAUCAGCCACAUAUCAAAGCUGACCAGAUCCUGAUGCAGUGAACCAUGAAAGUGAAAUUCUUCACCGUCUUAUCUACUUGUGUUGCGAUUUCAGGGAGCGAUGGACUUGAACCUCCCAAUCUCCUGAACACCUUUGAGAAUUUCAUCAAACUGACGCCCAGUGGCAGGAAUGGACAGGGUCAGCUUGGAUUGAUGCUCAUAAUUCAGGCUCAACAAAUCUACUGGACCAUUUUGGGAAUGAAAUUAGUGGUGAGUGUGGCCACCUCUCUGUACUGUAGUGAUACAGAUCCCCUGAUCCCGAUUGUCUCAAAUGGCUGACUGACAGUGUCGAAGUCCCUGGGCUGAUAUCGAAUGAUUCCUUGGCCAUGCUGUGUCAGGAUCUCCUGACUGAAUACUAUUCCCCCUUGCCCUGACUGAGAACUGUUUCCCUGAGAAUUUGAGACGUGCCCAUUUGGUCGAAACACAUGUGUUUGUUGCCACAGGUGCUGACCACCCCUUGACUGACUGCUGGUAAUAACAAUGCUAAGCUGCCUGGCUUAUGCCUGCGAUAAACACCAGGCAAGACAGGAGCACUGUGAGGCAUUAAGUUCUAGUUGAAACAUCAAAGUGCAAAAAUGUCAAUGAAGGGCAGAGAUAUUGCGGCAUAACUCCUGUCAGGUGCUGAAAAGCUUGUAGAGUUCUUAGAGCAAGAAUGUACUUUGUGGACAGGCAAUUCUGCAUCUUGAUUUAGCAUUUUUAUUUAACUCUGGCUCAUUUUGCUAGAUUUGUAAAUAUCUCUCGGUCUGGCUAAUGUGAGAAUUGGCUUUCGGAGUAAUGUGCCACUGACUGUCAUUCACAGUUGUAUCUCGCAUCAGUGAAUUGGUAAUCUGAUUAAGCUCACAGGCCUUGGCAUGAGAAAAAUAAAGCAGUCACAUGCACACUUG